GGAAGAGAGAGCUAGAAGGCCACAAUUUUUUAAUGUUAGUUGAUUAGUGAUACAUUUCAGCUGAUUAGUGACACAUGCCACUUCAUUUCAGAGAAUAUUGGAUGGAAUGAGGCCCUUGGUCAUGCCUAACUGCACUAACUAGAACAGAGGAGCUUGAAACAUAUUCUCCAGCCUACUUGCUUCUUCCCUGGCGAUUUCUUAUUUCAUUAGGCUUGCUGGAACACACUGCAUUCAUAGGACAAAGAAAACUUGUGCAGUGUGCUUGGGAAGAGAAUGCCCCUUUCUUCCAUACCACUUCUGUGCCCUUGAAUGCCAUGGAUAAAGACCUUGUGGUUCUACAUGGAGAUUUGAGGACAAAGGAAAAUGGGUGAGUUUGCAUAGUCAUCUGCAUGCCCUACAAGGUAACCUCCUUCUUGGAGAGUAAAGCAGCAGGCAGGAAAGGUUUAG
RNAcentral lists this long non-coding RNA (447 nucleotides) under Vulpes vulpes (red fox). RNAcentral's name for it is "lncRNA (ENSVVUG00000018421.1)". The record is from RNAcentral. Lineage: Eukaryota; Metazoa; Chordata; Mammalia; Carnivora; Canidae.